Molecule: long non-coding RNA, 480 nt
Organism: Nycticebus coucang (slow loris)
Lineage: Eukaryota; Metazoa; Chordata; Mammalia; Primates; Lorisidae
Exons: 4
Source: RefSeq, a predicted model, not a curated record
CUGGUCCGCACGUGUCAGGACCCCACGGUUCCCGCUGAGCUGGAGCCCCGGCCAGAACCCGGGCUCCAACUCGUUCGCCCGGUGCCGGCGCUGAGAAGCGAACCGUGGCCACUGUGACUGGGCCCCCGACCCGAAUUCGGGGCCAUGUUUGAACCCACCACCUCUAGUAUAUGGGGCCAGUGCCCUACUCCUUUGAGCCAUAGGUGCCGCCCAAUCCUCACUCUGCAAGAAUAAAACCUGUAUCCUGCCCAAGGCUAGUGGUCAAGAGCAAAAGAUGCAGCUCCCUGCAACCUGACCUGAGUUGAGGAAAAGGAAAUGGAUUUGGAAAAUGUCUGGACACCAUGGCCACUUGUCUGACCUGACUCUGUUGCCUUGGAUAGAGUGCUAUGGCAUCAUAGCUCACAGCAACCUCAAACUCUUGGGCUCAAGUGAUCCUCUUACCUCAGCUGUUGAAGUAGUUGGGACUACAGGUGCGUAACA